GCUAAAACGUGUGCUGGAGCUGGGGUAAGACGGAGAGUGCGAGUGGUCAGUGGAAUAACUGAGCGUAAAGGACACGGAGGCGGUUUAGGAAGUUAGGUGUGAAAUCCUAUGGCUCAACCAGAGAAAUGCACUUGAAACUGUUAGACUAGAGUAUGGGAGGGGGGGAUGGAAUUAGAGGUGUAGGGGUGAAAUCCGUAGAGAUCACUAGGAAUAUCGAAGGCGAAGGCGGUCUCCUGGAAAAUUACUGACGCUAAGGCGUGAAAGCGUGGGGAGCAAACAGGAUUAGAUACCCGAGUAGUC
Molecule: ribosomal RNA, 300 nt
Filed under: uncultured Sulfolobus sp.
Lineage: Archaea; Thermoproteati; Thermoproteota; Thermoprotei; Sulfolobales; Sulfolobaceae
Description: bacterial SSU rRNA
Rfam family: Bacterial small subunit ribosomal RNA (bases 52-300)
Source: RNAcentral